Bos taurus (domestic cattle) is the source of this 2015-nucleotide long non-coding RNA. Lineage: Eukaryota; Metazoa; Chordata; Mammalia; Artiodactyla; Bovidae. The record is from Ensembl.
UGUCCGUGUGGGAGUCCGCAUCUGUGGAAGCUCGUGGGCGGACUGACACCCUCAUGCUCACCCUGGCUCCCUCUGCUCAUCCCGGCUGUAGGAAGCGACCCGGGAGAGCCCAUUCCAACUGUCUGGAGCUGACCCAGCGGGGUUGGCCGGAUGGCCUUCCUCCCGUUCUUGUCCCUUCCAUGUCCCCCUUGCCCCGUGGACCUUCUGGUGGAGUGGGUUCCAUUCUUGCGCCCUGAGGCCACUUUUUUGUUCCUGGGAUCCCUUGGCAUGGCAGAUGGGUAUGGUGAGAUGACCCCCCAGAAUGUUGCAGUGGAAGAAUAUACAGUACAUAGGGUUGGAUAAAGAGAGCGAAAAAUUGAGGUUUUGAGCAAGAGUGACUGGAAGGAUGGGAUGAUGGUGGCCUUCUAAGAAAUGUGGAGCCGGCCUUGGGGCUAGAGGAUGGUCAGGGAAGGGUGUACAGGGAAGUGGAUCAGACGGCAAAGAUAAACAUGGUGUUCUUUCACCGUACUCUCCACUGGGCUGUCCCUGGUUACCAGGGCAACAGAAGCAGUGAUGAAAAUCAUGCCUUUCGUUCAGUGGAAAAAUCUGGCUCCUCCUCCCGCCUCUUCCUUCUCUAAUCGCGUGCAACCUAUCGGAAGAGUGAUGGCUCCAGGGAUCAGAGACCCCAGUGUGUUCAUAUCAGGCCCCCUCCUUCCCCAUUUUUGGUCAUCUUUCCCUUUCCUGUGUUCCCCAUCUCCCCCAGAGCUCAAUAAUUGGCAGUUGCGGAGGAGUUGGACUGGAUGGAGGGGGAAGGGCAUGGACGUCAUUGCAGGGCAGGGUGAGCAGAGCGCGUGGGCAGAGAUGUGGAUGCAGGAAUGACUGGCACACGAGGAGGGUCAGGCAUUGAUUAGCUGGAUGGAGCUCGUGCCUGGGAUGGUAGGAGCUGGGGGCAGGAGGAUGGGGGCAAUGAUGGAAGGCCUGGAGAGUGUGGCGGUCUGGGUGCGCAGUGGUGGUAGGAAAUGGGAAGGCCCUGAGGUUUCUGGUGUGGCCGUGGCUCCCGAGGAAAGCUCGGACUCAUUCAUUCAGGGCUUUUUUGGGCCUCCCGUGUGAGGUAAGGUUCUGGGAACUCGGAAGACACAGGAGACUGGCAAUAUUCCAGACUGGAAGUGAUAGAUUAAGGUGGAGCCUGCGAGAAAGUGGAGGAAGAGGUAGUUCGCAGAGCCCUCUUGGCUUGGGCACAGGACACGGGCAAGAGAAGAUGCUGAUGUUUUGAGCCUUCGUGGUUGACAGAAGUAGCAAAAUCAAGGUUCAGACUUGCUUGGGGGAGUCAUGUUUGAUUUGCCUUUGGACACACUGCCCAAGACAACAGCAGGGUGUCUGAGCAGAAAUAUUUAUGGUCAGGCAGAGAGAAUUUGCGGUGGAAAUCCGUUCUGGGAAGAGAGUUGGAGGAAACCAUAUUAUUACGGAGCUUUGAAGGCGUGAGGCUGCUGAGAAGGUGUGGAGAGAGAGAUCCCAGGGCCCGGGACAUGGGCCUCGGGCUGGGUGAGGCUCUGAGCCUGGCACUUGUUUCUUACUAGGGCCCGCCCAGACUGCUGGACCAGAUUUCUGCUAAUGAACGCCCACGUCUCCUACCAGACCACACCCUUUUUUGAAGUUCAGGUUUCUGUUUGAGUUUUCCUCUCCCUGGUAACUAUGUCCAGAAGGAUAUGUCCUGGAAAGAUAGACACGUAUGCUCACCUCUCCGAGCUCUCUCCUUGACCUUUGCUCUACCAUCCGCUUAUAAAUUCCUGAGAGGCCCUGCCCUGUACUACAGAGAUGCGCCAUAUGCCUUCGGCCCCCACCAGCAAGGCUGUUCUUUCUGGCUCAUUUCCAGUCACCACUGCAGGAAUAAGAGGGCUCGACGGAGGCCUUUGCUGGCAGCAUGAUCAUGAGCACAUCACUUCCUUUUGCAGGCUAUAGGCCUAGUCUAAGGGUCUAGUUUCUUCCAGCUCUGAAGACUUCAGAUAGGACGUCCAGUUUUUUCCCUGCGUUUGCCC